This is a long non-coding RNA of Solanum stenotomum, 239 nucleotides long. RefSeq lists it as uncharacterized. The record is from RefSeq and is a predicted model, not a curated record. The transcript is spliced from 2 exons. Lineage: Eukaryota; Viridiplantae; Streptophyta; Magnoliopsida; Solanales; Solanaceae.
UCAUUGGCUUGAGAUGGAGGACUCAGAGUUUCAUGUAUACCUUCUAUGCAUGGUUUAUCCUUAUUACUAUAUGGUGUCCAUUCUGGUAGCUCUGCCUGGAAAUCUGGUCCAAUGGGGACCAUCUUUUGAGCAUUACUCAAAAGAGAAGAAUAUAUCUCCCUGUGAUGAGCAGCAGCCCUGAACGGAUGAUCAAAAUAGUAAUAUUCAGGAGACGUCGAUAAGUGAAAAGGAGCCUCAGG